Microplitis mediator is the source of this 476-nucleotide long non-coding RNA. RefSeq lists it as uncharacterized. NCBI's taxonomy places the organism in Eukaryota, Metazoa, Arthropoda, Insecta, Hymenoptera, Braconidae. The transcript has 3 exons. The record is from RefSeq and is a predicted model, not a curated record.
CAUGAAGUUUUUUCUGUACGCUUGAAUCUUCUGCGACACAUAGUUCACUUUAUAUCAAAGAUAAUAUUUAUAAAUUCAAUCUAUAUUAUUACUUGAAACCUAUUAAUUUUUCAACUUCACUCAACUAUUGAUAUUCUAUUAAUUUUUAAUUAAAAAAAAUAUAUCGUUGCGUUCGUCCACUGCUUGAUACUUGUUGUUAAAUAAUUAUCAAAACAUCUAUCCGGAUUGUGUAUUAAAAAAAAAUGACGACUUAUCAAUAAUCUACGCUCUACGCACCGCAGUCGCUGAGACAAUGGAUGCUGAUGUGUGGACACGAAUCAUGGAACUUUGAAUAAAAAGUGAUUUAUCAGUUACAUGACAGCAGAAUGAUAUAGCCGUACCUAAGAUAUACUGUUUUUAAGAUAAAGAAGCUAAUUAUUAUAGUUACACUAUCAGUAACUAGCUAGUAUAAUUAUUAACUAAUUAAGCAAAUAUUG